Molecule: non-coding RNA, 45 nt
Filed under: Schistosoma mansoni
Lineage: Eukaryota; Metazoa; Platyhelminthes; Trematoda; Strigeidida; Schistosomatidae
Source: RNAcentral
AUUUAGCUAAAGAGUCACAAAUAGGACGAAAUGCACGUUCUGAAU